This 497-nucleotide ribosomal RNA is filed under the name uncultured bacterium. RNAcentral's name for it is "partial 16S ribosomal RNA". It matches the Rfam family "Bacterial small subunit ribosomal RNA", at positions 28 to 507 of the family's 1533-position model. The record is from RNAcentral.
GAUGAACGCUGGCGGCGUGCCUAAUACAUGCAAGUCGAGCGAACGGACGAGAAGCUUGCUUCUCUGAUGUUAGCGGCGGACGGGUGAGUAACACGUGGAUAACCUACCUAUAAGACUGGGAUAACUUCGGGAAACCGGAGCUAAUACCGGAUAAUAUUUUGAACCGCAUGGUUCGAAAGUGAAAGACGGUCUUGCUGUCACUUAUAGAUGGAUCCGCGCUGCAUUAGCUAGUUGGUAAGGUAACGGCUUACCAAGGCAACGAUGCAUAGCCGACCUGAGAGGGUGAUCGGCCACACUGGAACUGAGACACGGUCCAGACUCCUACGGGAGGCAGCAGUAGGGAAUCUUCCGCAAUGGGCGAAAGCCUGACGGAGCAACGCCGCGUGAGUGAUGAAGGUCUUCGGAUCGUAAAACUCUGUUAUUAGGGAAGAACAAACGUGUAAGUAACUGUGCACGUCUUGACGGUACCUAAUCAGAAAGCCACGGCUAACUACGUG